ACUGAGGCACGCAAUGGGAAAGAAAAUAUGGAAAUGGCCGUGGCAAGACAACGAGCUUAAUUGCGCGAGAUACGAAACAAGCAGGGAGGAGAAAGAUGGACGGAUGGAGUUGAGAACAAGUUAUAAAGAAAUACAGUAACCGACCAUUGUCCGUAUAAUUGAAAGAAAUUAUGGCCUGGUACCGUGGAAGAAAACUGAUUAACCUUUUGGGUAUAAUGUAGGAGUCAGACUUGUUAUGCGUCUCUUGUAUUAAUGCAAGAGAAUGGAAGAACGAAGAGAAAUUUUAACUGGAAUUGAGGCAAUAUUUAAAAAAUAUAUAUAUAUAAAAUAAUAAUAAUAAUAAUAAUAAUAAUAAUAAUAAUUAAGGAGCGAGAUGCCGAAUGAAAGAGACGAAAAGAAAUAGCAAUUGUAUUUGCUUAAAUAAAUGAUUUCGCGUUUACCUUUGGGAAAUAGUAAUUUGCGCCGAGCAAUCGAAUCCAAACAAUAUUGUACAUGAAGUUGUCACGUAUGUUAUAAAGUAUCAUUUAAAAUUAUGAAUAGAAUUGAUUCGCGAUCGCAAAUAUUGCCAAGCGUCAUUUCGUUUACUUAAAUCCUUUUUUUUUUAUUUUUUUAUUUUUUUUUAAAUAAAGGGAAUUGAUAAUUAUUGGGAAUAAGGUGCGUUUUAUUGAUACAUUCAGUUGACGAGUAUUGACGUUGAAAUUGAUUGAUAAUGCAAACAAUAUUAAGUGCAUUUGCUUUGAAAAUAUUUUGAAAAAUCGUAAUUAUCGCGAGAUUUCAAUGAUCUUGAAAUGGUUACCUUAACAAGAUAUUUCAUUUUUAUUUCGAAAAUAUGUACAACUUGAUUAAACUGUGGUUGUUUAGUUUUUUAAUAGCUAUAUUCAUCGUACAAAUUUAUUUUACAAUUUCUUCGAAUCUUAGUUCGUAAAUCGUUAACCUUAAUUAUUAUGGCCUUGAAGCUAAUUGGGAAUACGUGGCUGUAUUCUCGAAGACCAUAGAAUCAAUUUUAUUUCAUAAAUUCGAUAUACGAGUUAGGGGAAAAAAUUUGAAGUUAAUUUUGAAUUUUAAUUUCGUGUAUAAAUUCGAUUUAAAAUUUGAGAAAAGAAGGGAAAGGUAAGAAAUGGUGGAAAGAAAGAAGUUGAGAACAACUCAUCGGUCACGAAGGAGUUUAAUGAGGAGUUUAGGGGCGCGUAAACUCGCGAAGGAUCGUUUAAAAACGCGUCGCGCAUAGCCAAGCCGAAAGACAGGAUCGCUUUGAAUUAUAAAGCAGACAUUUUAUCCAUACAGUGUCUCUCUUUAUCGUUGGGACGUAUCUUGAAAUAGUAAUAGGAGCGUGAAACAAUUUGUAGCAAUCACAUCGCUGGGAAAAACGAGGAGUUACAAUAAGAGGAACGUGGCCAACCACGAUCCUAUUUCCUGUGGUUUAUCUCGAGCGUCAUUCGGGGUCGGGAUUCAAUCUUUUUCUUUUUUCUUCGAUUAUUUACGGGGUAGAGAAAUAGAACUUGGACAACGUUACUUUUAAUUAAAAUUCAAUUAUAUACUUAUCAUCUUUUGUGCUUAAAUGGAAAGGAUUAUAAUAGGAAAGUAUCUUUAUAGUCGGAUUAUUUUCAUCUUCUGAAUUCGACAAAUUGAAAGAAUAGAAUUUAAAAAAAGAAAAACUUAGAAAUCGUAUUUAUUUUAUAAAGUUUCGUUCAUCGAGUUUAAUUAUUACCAUUCAAUUUCUUCGACAACAAAUAUCGCUUGCUCGUUCUUACAAAAAUUUAAUUUAAUUUUACUGUUUCUCAUUACUUAUUCAUACACGUUUAACCGCUUAAUAAUAAUAAAUUGCCCGACAGCAUAAUGCAAAAAUAAUACAAAAUACGAUUCUAAAGUGCACACAAUCGACUAUGAAUCACACAAAACACGCUUAAACACUUAGAUAAAUUUAAUUUCAAAACAAUUACGUUUCCACUUCCAAUAAUAAUAUAGAGAGAAAUAAUUACAAUGUCGAGUGUUGAUCGAUCGACCGAAACCCAAAACGAAAUUACCCAAAGGUGAGUAAUAUUCGAGGCCAAUAUUUUGUAUUCACCUGUCGUCGCGUCGUCGUCGUCGUUGUAGAAACUCUCCAAACACCGUCAAAGAAUUAUUAUUUAUUCGGAGGCGGAAAAUUAUUUGUGAAGACGGAAAUCGAUAAAUAUCUAUUACCAUUCUCGACUAUCCACGUGGCGAAUUCCCGUACAUCGUGUCCGUCAUAAACACGCGAGGAAGGAUAAGGAAGGAAGGAAGAAAGGGGAAAAAAGAUUGGAACGCAAGAUGGCGUACUACAACUCACCGGGAUCCACGACACGGGUUAAUGGUCAUUACUUUCUACCGAGGACCGAAUUGCGCGAGAGUGAACGAAUUUAUCAGUGGCGGUAAUUAAACGCGCGCCAUGUAAAUAUACACUCGGUUACAGCUAUUUAACAUGUCGCGUGAAUCGCAACAGGUUUAACGAGACGAAAAAUCGUCGCGUUCGCGUACCGAGCAAUUAAAACCCGGUACAACGUGUCUCCAUUAAACUGAAAAAAAGAAAAAAGGGAAGGAGGAAAAAGAAAGAGGGAAACUCGCGACGCAGAUGCAAGCCACUUGCCAAGGAAACUCGAGGAAAGCCACAGCCAGUGCAGGGGCGCGAAUGAAGUCAUCUUCUCUAAUGCGUCGAUGCGGCUACUUCAAACCCGACUCAACUCAUUUACGACAUUACCUGGCGCACCCACAUGGCAACGACGUGGUGAACAGAAGAGGAAGAGAGAGAGAGAGGCGAGAGAGUUGCAUUGUAACUUCGCUCUUUUCAAGGCCCCCCCCCCGUUUACAAAAUGGCGUAAUAUGUCGCGCCAUUAUUUGCACCCAUCCAAAGAUCUCUCCUCUUCUGAUUGCUCUUGGCAGAGAAAGGGAGAGAGAGAUACAGUUUAAACGAACCGUGACCAAUUUUCUUUUUUCGAGCUGCUGGGUGAAAUAAGGGAGUGGAACAGAAUUGGAGUGGUUUUGGUCACUAUGGAGAUAAGAGAUAUUUGUGGUCCGUGGCUCCUUUUUGCAUCCAUCUGUUUUCUUACAGUGAUUUUGAUCGAUAUUACAUAGCUCUCGAUCGAAAGGAUAUCGAACUAAUGAAUAGUGAAUUAUACGAUACCCAAUUUUUUUCGUUUCGUUUCGCUAAACUUAAUUACUUAAGAUUAAAAUUAUACAAUUGAUUUAUAUCCCAA
Long non-coding RNA from Apis cerana (Asiatic honeybee), 3212 nucleotides. RefSeq lists it as uncharacterized. The record is from RefSeq and is a predicted model, not a curated record. NCBI's taxonomy places the organism in Eukaryota, Metazoa, Arthropoda, Insecta, Hymenoptera, Apidae.